Molecule: long non-coding RNA, 448 nt
Organism: Cyprinus carpio (common carp)
Lineage: Eukaryota; Metazoa; Chordata; Actinopteri; Cypriniformes; Cyprinidae
Exons: 3
Source: RefSeq, a predicted model, not a curated record
UGAUUGUGGCGUCACAGAUGAAGGUUGUGCUGCUCUGUCUUCAGCUCUGAGAUCAAACCCCUCACACCUGAGAGAACUGAAUCUGUCGUGGAAUAAACUAAGAAGUUAUAGUAUGAAGCUGCUCUCUGUUGGACUGAAGGAUCCUCACUGUAAACUGGAGAAACUGUGGUUGAGUGAUUGUGGCGUCACAGAUGAAGGUUGUGCUGCUCUGACUUCAGCUCUGAGAUCAAACCCCUCACACCUGAGAGAACUGAAUCUGUUUGGAAAUAAACUAAGAGAUUCUAGUAGGAAGCUACUCUCUGAUCUGAAGGACGAUCCACAUUAUAAACUGGAGACAUUAUACUAUUGACUCUCAGUAUUUAGACGUCAGUUCAGUUUCCUCAGGAUCAGCUGAUGGUGAAUAAGAGCCGCUACAGAGACGUCACAGUCACACAAUCAACACAGACUG